UUGCUCACUUCAGCAGCACAUGAACUAACAUUGAAGCGAUACAGAGAAGAUCAGCAUGGCCCCUGCACGAGGAUGACACACAGAUUCACAAAGUGUUUCAUUUUAAA
This is a small nuclear RNA of Chlorocebus sabaeus (green monkey), 107 nucleotides long. The record is from Ensembl. NCBI's taxonomy places the organism in Eukaryota, Metazoa, Chordata, Mammalia, Primates, Cercopithecidae.